GGUUAGUCCAGUGGUAGGGAGUUACCUCAGUUGUUCACAAUCAGUUACAGAUUGAACUUCUUAUUCUACUCAUUCCCCCUUUCUCACUACUUCACUUAACUAGUCUUGG
RNAcentral lists this Y RNA (109 nucleotides) under Carlito syrichta (Philippine tarsier). RNAcentral describes it as "Y RNA (ENSTSYG00000023943.2)". It matches the Rfam family "Y RNA". From Rfam's summary of the family: Y RNAs are components of the Ro ribonucleoprotein particle (Ro RNP), in association with Ro60 and La proteins. The Y RNAs and Ro60 and La proteins are well conserved, but the function of the Ro RNP is not known. In humans the RNA component can be one of four small RNAs -- hY1, hY3, hY4 and hY5. The record is from Rfam by way of RNAcentral. Lineage: Eukaryota; Metazoa; Chordata; Mammalia; Primates; Tarsiidae.